CCUACGGGAGGCAGCAGUAGGGAAUCUUCCGCAAUGGACGAAAGUCUGACGGAGCAACGCCGCGUGAGCGAAGAAGGCCUUCGGGUCGUAAAGCCCGGUUGUCAGGGAAGAAUAAGUGCCGGAGUAACUGCCGGCACCUUGACGGUACCUGGCCAGAAAGCCACGGCUAACUACGUGCCAGCAGCCGCGGUAAU
Molecule: ribosomal RNA, 194 nt
Filed under: uncultured Bacillus sp.
Lineage: Bacteria; Bacillati; Bacillota; Bacilli; Caryophanales; Bacillaceae
Description: partial 16S ribosomal RNA
Rfam family: Bacterial small subunit ribosomal RNA
Source: RNAcentral